Molecule: ribosomal RNA, 716 nt
Filed under: uncultured bacterium
Lineage: Bacteria
Description: bacterial SSU rRNA
Rfam family: Bacterial small subunit ribosomal RNA
Source: RNAcentral
UCGAGCGGUAGAGAGAAGCUUGCUUCUCUUGAGAGCGGCGGACGGGUGAGUAAUACCUAGGAAUCUGCCUGGUAGUGGGGGAUAACGUUCGGAAACGGACGCUAAUACCGCAUACGUCCUACGGGAGAAAGCAGGGGACCUUCGGGCCUUGCGCUAUCAGAUGAGCCUAGGUCGGAUUAGCUAGUUGGUGAGGUAAUGGCUCACCAAGGCUACGAUCCGUAACUGGUCUGAGAGGAUGAUCAGUCACACUGGAACUGAGACACGGUCCAGACUCCUACGGGAGGCAGCAGUGGGGAAUAUUGGACAAUGGGCGAAAGCCUGAUCCAGCCAUGCCGCGUGUGUGAAGAAGGUCUUCGGAUUGUAAAGCACUUUAAGUUGGGAGGAAGGGCAGUUACCUAAUACGUGAUUGUCUUGACGUUACCGACAGAAUAAGCACCGGCUAACUCUGUGCCAGCAGCCGCGGUAAUACGGAGGGUGCAAGCGUUAAUCGGAAUUACUGGGCGUAAAGCGCGCGUAGGUGGUUUGUUAAGCUGAAUGUGAAAUCCCCGGGCUCAACCUGGGAACUGCAUCCAAAACUGGCAAGCUAGAGUAUGGUAGAGGGUAGUGGAAUUUCCUGUGUAGCGGUGAAAUGCGUAGAUAUAGGAAGGAACACCAGUGGCGAAGGCGACUACCUGGACUGAUACUGACACUGAGGUGCGAAAGCGUGGGGAGCAAAC